Molecule: ribosomal RNA, 96 nt
Filed under: uncultured eukaryote
Lineage: Eukaryota
Description: partial small subunit ribosomal RNA
Rfam family: Bacterial small subunit ribosomal RNA
Source: RNAcentral
CUAGUCUAACCUUCGGGAGGGCGGUCGCCACGGUGUGGUUCAUGACUGGGGUGAAGUCGUAACAAGGUAGCUGUAGGUGAACCUGCAGGAGGAUCA